This 542-nucleotide ribosomal RNA is filed under the name uncultured bacterium. Its description in RNAcentral is "bacterial SSU rRNA". It matches the Rfam family "Bacterial small subunit ribosomal RNA", at positions 119 to 674 of the family's 1533-position model. The record is from RNAcentral.
GGAUAAUCUUCCUUAGAGUGGGGAAUAACUAGUCGAAAGAUUAGCUAAUACCGCAUAAGACCACAGGGGCUUCGGCCCAAGGGGUUAAAGGAGCAAUUCGCUCUAAGAUGAGUCUGCGCUCGAUUAGCUAGUUGGUGAGGUAAUGGCUCACCAAGGCGACGAUCGAUAGGUGGUCUGAGAGGACGGCCACCCACACUGGGACUGAGACACGGCCCAGACUCCUACGGGAGGCAGCAGUAGGGAAUAUUGCACAAUGGAGGAAACUCUGAUGCAGCGACGCCGCGUGAGUGACGAAGGCCUUCGGGUCGUAAAGCUCUGUUCUCAGGGAAAAAGAAAGUGAUUGUACCUGAGGAGAAAGGACCGGCUAACUUCGUGCCAGCAGCCGCGGUAAGACGAGGGGUCCAAGCGUUGUUCGGAAUUAUUGGGCGUAAAGCGGGUGUAGGUGGAUCUAUAAGUCAGGAGUGAAAGCCCCAAGCUUAACUUGGGAAGUGCUUUUGAUACUGUAGAUCUUGAAUGUGGGAGAGGAUCGUGGAAUUCCAGGU